RNAcentral lists this non-coding RNA (29 nucleotides) under Mus musculus (house mouse). Lineage: Eukaryota; Metazoa; Chordata; Mammalia; Rodentia; Muridae. The record is from RNAcentral.
UGAUAAAUUUAUAGGAUGGCACCCUUGCU